CCAGACUCCUACGGGAGGCAGCAGUCGAGAAUCAUUCACAAUGGGGGAAACCCUGAUGCAGCGACGCCGCGUGGGCGAAGAAGUAUUUCGGUAUGUAAAGCUCUAUCAGCAGGGAAGAAGAUGACGGUACCUGACUAAGAAGCCCCGGCUAACUACGUGCCAGCAGCCGCGGUAAUACGUAGGGGGCAAGCGUUAUCCGGAUUUACUGGGUGUAAAGGGAGCGUAGACGGCGCGGCAAGUCUGAAGUGAAAGGCAGGGGCUUAACCCCUGAACUGCUUUGGAAACUGCCAUGCUAGAGUGCUGGAGAGGUAAGUGGAAUUCCUAGUGUAGCGGUGAAAUGCGUAGAUAUUAGGAAGAACACCAGUGGCGAAGGCGGCUUUCUGGACUGAAACUGACGCUGAGGCACGAAAGCGUGGGGAGCGAACAGGAUUAGAUACCCUUGUAU
RNAcentral lists this ribosomal RNA (445 nucleotides) under uncultured bacterium. RNAcentral describes it as "bacterial SSU rRNA". It matches the Rfam family "Bacterial small subunit ribosomal RNA", at positions 331 to 793 of the family's 1533-position model. The record is from RNAcentral.